CGUACCCGGAAAUGGGGGAUAACGUAGCGAAAGUUACGCUAAUACCGCAUAUGCCCUAAGGGGGAAAGCGGGGGAUUCGCAAGAACCUCGCGUUUUCGGAGCGGCCGAUAUCGGAUUAGCUAGUAGGUGAGGUAAAGGCUCACCUAGGCGACGAUCCGUAGCUGGUCUGAGAGGACGACCAGCCACACUGGAACUGAGACACGGUCCAGACUCCUACGGGAGGCAGCAGUGGGGAAUUUUGGACAAUGGGCGCAAGCCUGAUCCAGCCAUGCCGCGUGAGUGAAGAAGGCCUUCGGGUUGUAAAGCUCUUUCAGCCGGAAAGAAAACGCACGGGAUAAUACCCUGUGUGGAUGACGGUACCGGAAGAAGAAGCACCGGCUAACUACGUGCCAGCAGCCGCGGUAAUACGUAGGGUGCGAGCGUUAAUCGGAAUUACUGGGCGUAAAGCGUGCGCAGGCGGUUUUGUAAGACAGAUGUGAAAUCCCCGGGCUUAACCUGGGAACUGCAUUUGUAACUGCAAGGCUAGAGUACGGCAGAGGGGGGUAGAAUUCCACGUGUAGCAGUGAAAUGCGUAGAUAUGUGGAGGAAUACCGAUGGCGAAAGCAGCCCCCUGGGUCGAUACUGACGCUCAUGCACGAAAGCGUGGGGAGCAAACAGGAUUAGAUACCCUGGUAGUCCACGCCCUAAACGAUGUCAACUAGUGUUGGGGGAGGAGACUUCCUUAGUACCGCAGCUAACGCGUGAAGUUGACCGCCUGGGGAGUACGGUCGCAGAUUAAAACUCAAAGGAAUUGAC
RNAcentral lists this ribosomal RNA (795 nucleotides) under uncultured bacterium. Its description in RNAcentral is "bacterial SSU rRNA". It matches the Rfam family "Bacterial small subunit ribosomal RNA", at positions 125 to 914 of the family's 1533-position model. The record is from RNAcentral.